RNAcentral lists this transfer RNA (69 nucleotides) under Opilio parietinus. Its description in RNAcentral is "tRNA-Leu". Lineage: Eukaryota; Metazoa; Arthropoda; Arachnida; Opiliones; Phalangiidae. The record is from RNAcentral.
AUUAUUUUGUCAGAUAGAUUGAGUUAAAUUUAGGAUUUAAUUAGGAGAUUUUAAAAAACUCAAAUAAUA